This 155-nucleotide unclassified non-coding RNA is filed under the name uncultured cyanobacterium. RNAcentral describes it as "partial 16S-23S ribosomal RNA intergenic spacer". Lineage: Bacteria; Bacillati; Cyanobacteriota. The record is from RNAcentral.
CGGUUCGAGUCCGCUUACCUCCACUGAUUACCACCUCUUCCAUAUUUUGUAGAAGGGAAAUGUUUUGAGUUGUGAUCAAAUUCUGAACGAUUCUAGCUUCCUAAUUAAACUCAUUAAGAUGCUGGACUCAUUGAAUUAAAUUCAUUGUUUUCAGA